Molecule: small RNA, 124 nt
Filed under: Marmota monax (woodchuck)
Lineage: Eukaryota; Metazoa; Chordata; Mammalia; Rodentia; Sciuridae
Source: RNAcentral
GCCAGGUGUAGUGGAGGACGCCUGUAAUCCCAGCAGCUUGGAAGGCUGAGACAGGAGAAUCGCAAGUUCAAAACCAGCCUCAGCAAUGGAGAGGUGCUAAACAACUCGUGAGACCUUGUCUCUA